GCCAGCACUGCCCUCUGAAUGUUGACAGAAUACCUGAUUCACACCCGUGGGAUCCUGCAUAAGAUUGCCUUGGACCAAGGGACCCAUUUGACUGAGAAAUAUGUACAUGAUCAUAAGAUUCACUGGUUCUACCAUCUUCUACCUAUUUCUUGAAAAGCUUUCUCAGAAGAUAAAGGAGCCUGCUCAGCCAGCACACAACCAUGGCCUGGAAAUGUGGAGACAGUUACAGCUUCCAGGGGCAGUUCUCAACCAAUGGGAUCAGAAGCCAGUGAACAAAUGCCCCAGUGUUCCAUCUUUCACUUGGGCAAUUCCGAGAGAUCCAAAAGAAUCAAACCCCAGGUACUUACUGCUACAAAUGGUGACAUUGCAUCCUUAUACUUUUCCUUCUUCCCUGUCUCACUCUCCCUGACCCCACCCCUCUACCAUUUUGCUUCCUGGAAUCAUCACCCAAAUAAACUAUGUCCACCAAA
Molecule: long non-coding RNA, 470 nt
Filed under: Homo sapiens (human)
Lineage: Eukaryota; Metazoa; Chordata; Mammalia; Primates; Hominidae
Description: HSALNT0021780
Source: RNAcentral